GAUCACCACCAAGGACUUAAAGGAGAAGAAGGAAGUUGUGGAGGAGGCGGAAAUGGAAGAGAUGCCUCUGCUAAUGGGAACACUAAUGAGGAAAAUUGGGAGCAGGAGGUUGACAAUGAGGUAGAUGAAGAAGAGGAAGAAGGUGAUGGUGAGGAAGAGGAUGGAGAUGAAGACGAGGAAGCUGAGUUUGCUAUGGGCAAGUGAGUAGCUGAAGAUGAUAAGGAUGAUGAUGUCCAUACCAAGAAGCAGA
RNAcentral lists this long non-coding RNA (250 nucleotides) under Homo sapiens (human). RNAcentral describes it as "HSALNT0245486". Lineage: Eukaryota; Metazoa; Chordata; Mammalia; Primates; Hominidae. The record is from RNAcentral.